AUAUUUGUAACAAUACACUAAAAUUUAAGAUGUUUGUAACUCACCACUAUAAGACAUAGCUAUAUCACCUUACGCUGCUUUCAAUUUUGAACUCACACAAAUAACCAAAGAACGAAUAUCGAACCAUCUUAUGAGUUCUUACACCAAACAAGAUUUUCAUGACCGAAUCCCCGGUGCAUACUCCAAGUCUACAUCCACAGGCUCAACACAUAAUAAUCUAUCAUUGAUUUCCAGCAACCAUCUAACACUGACCAUCUAGAUAAUUUUAAUGACUCAACAACUGAGGGCAUGCAAUUCAUGUUAACAUACCAUGAAAUACAA
Molecule: long non-coding RNA, 321 nt
Filed under: Brassica napus (rape)
Lineage: Eukaryota; Viridiplantae; Streptophyta; Magnoliopsida; Brassicales; Brassicaceae
Description: long non-coding RNA (BNAP_LNC008433)
Source: RNAcentral